AGUGAACGCUGGCGGCGUGCCUAACACAUGCAAGUCGAGCGAAGUGGCAGUCCGCCGCAAGGCGGAUAUGUGCUUAGCGGCAGACGGGUGAGUAAUACGUAGAGAACCUUCCUUUUAGAGGGGGAUAGCUGGCCGAAAGGCUAGGUAAUACCCCGUACGAUCAAGAGUCGGCAUCGGCUUUUGAUGAAACAUCCGCAAGGAUGGCUGAAAGACGGCUCUGCGGCCUAUCAGCUAGUUGGUGAGGUAAUGGCUCACCAAGGCUACGACGGGUAACCGACCUGAAAGGGUGAACGGUCACACUGACACUGAGACACGGGUCAGACACCUACGGGUGGCAGCAGUGAGGAAUCUUGGGACAAUGGGGCAACCCUGAUCCAGCGACGCCGCGUGAAGGAUGAAGGUCUUCGGAUU
This 411-nucleotide ribosomal RNA is filed under the name uncultured bacterium. RNAcentral's name for it is "bacterial SSU rRNA". It matches the Rfam family "Bacterial small subunit ribosomal RNA", at positions 29 to 424 of the family's 1533-position model. The record is from RNAcentral.